CAGUCGCCACGGUAAUACGUAGGGUGCGAGCAUUAAUCGGAAUUACUGGGCGUAAAGCGUGCGCAGGCGGUUCGGAAAGAGAGAUGUGAAAUCCCAGGGCUUAACCUUGGAACUGCAUUUUUAACUACCGGACUAGAGUGUGUCAGAGGGAGGUGGAAUUCCGCGUGUAGCAGUGAAAUGCGUAGAGAUGCGGAGGAACACCGAUGGCGAAGGCAGCCUCCUGGGAUAACACUGACGCUCACGCACGAAAGCGUGGGGAGCAAACAGGAUUAGAUACCCGUGUAGUCCCUGUCUCUUAUAC
RNAcentral lists this ribosomal RNA (301 nucleotides) under uncultured bacterium. RNAcentral's name for it is "partial 16S ribosomal RNA". It matches the Rfam family "Bacterial small subunit ribosomal RNA", at positions 509 to 807 of the family's 1533-position model. The record is from RNAcentral.